Molecule: small nucleolar RNA, 81 nt
Filed under: Otolemur garnettii (small-eared galago)
Lineage: Eukaryota; Metazoa; Chordata; Mammalia; Primates; Galagidae
Description: Small nucleolar RNA ZL8
Rfam family: Small nucleolar RNA ZL8
About the family: Host gene C6orf48. No homologs outside of mammals.
Source: Rfam by way of RNAcentral
UAAGACAGGUAAUAAUAACUUGGUUGGACUAGAGUCUCCGAACUUUUCUCUGAGGACCUUUGAAACCACCUGAUCCACUCA